GUCCAUGUAUGAAAAUAAAAAGGAGGCACCCAAGAGUUGGACGCCCCUUAUCUUGCCAUGUUUGGAUAAGCCUUGACUAGGUACUUGACUUAGACAAGGACUCUAUCAUAUCUCUCUGUAUGAAACAUGUUUCUUCAUGAAAUUUUUGUAGAACAUAGAGAUUUAAGAGACUUUGCGGCAUCCAAAAAAUCAAAGAGAAAUACAUUUGGGUCGUGGAGAUAUAAUAGAUACAAGACAAGGUGUCUAGG
Molecule: long non-coding RNA, 248 nt
Filed under: Elaeis guineensis (African oil palm)
Lineage: Eukaryota; Viridiplantae; Streptophyta; Magnoliopsida; Arecales; Arecaceae
Description: long non-coding RNA (EGUI_LNC077461)
Source: RNAcentral